GUUUAUAAUGGGGGCGAGAGGUUGCGACACCAGCCGUGUUCAUAAAGAUACAAGCGUAGCUUAAUUUAAUGAAUACACCGUUGAGGCCUGCGAUGUCUGUUAUGUACUUCUAAUGACGCAUGUUCUCAUACUGAACACAGCAGAAGUUAUCAUCAUGCUCAGCUGCCAGUUGAAGUAGUAGAGGGAAGCAACACACAUUACAUUGUCCCAUCACAAUGAUCCUGGAUUGCAAGAGUCAAGUCGAGCAGGCUUGUUACACCAGAGUUGACACUGGAGAUAAAGGCUGCACUCGGCUGGAAAACUGCUCUCGUCCUGGAUGGGUCUGCUGCAGUAAGAGACUAUGCAAUGCUUGAGCAGCCAAUUCGACCGCAUGCAACACAAGGGCAGCCUAAGGGUCAAUAAAUGCUGAUGUCAUUGCUC
Synchiropus splendidus (mandarinfish) is the source of this 420-nucleotide long non-coding RNA. RefSeq lists it as uncharacterized. The record is from RefSeq and is a predicted model, not a curated record. Lineage: Eukaryota; Metazoa; Chordata; Actinopteri; Syngnathiformes; Callionymidae. The transcript has 2 exons.